UUCCAGCAUUAUUGUUUUUCAUUCCUACUAUUACUUUUCUCCUCUCAGGAUAAAAUAAAAUAACAAUGAUGCUGCUCUUGGUCCCCCUCUUCCUCUUGGCCCUGCUCCCAGGUGUUUUCUCCCAAGUCACAUUGAAGGAAUCUGAACCAGGAACAGUGAGACCAGGAGAGACCCUCGAGCUGACCUGUACGGUCACUGGGCGCUCUGUGACAAGCAGCUACUGGUGGCACUGGGUACGACAGAGCCCUGGGAAAGGGCUCGAAUGGAUGGGAGGCUGGACUGCAAGAUCGUACUACGCUGCAUCAUUCCAAAACCGAAUCACCAUCUCUGUGGAUUCUUCCCAAACCAAGUACUUUCUGAGACUGAGCACUGUGACAGCUGCAGACACAGCCAUGUAUUACUGUGCAACAGGCACAGUGGGACAGACUGAAGCAGAGGCCUGUACAAAACGGAGGAAGUGUUUCCUUCUGAUACUUCUUGAGUAA
This is a non-coding RNA of Podarcis muralis (Common wall lizard), 485 nucleotides long. The record is from the annotation of a RefSeq genome assembly. Lineage: Eukaryota; Metazoa; Chordata; Lepidosauria; Squamata; Lacertidae.